RNAcentral lists this transfer RNA (73 nucleotides) under SAR324 cluster bacterium. Its description in RNAcentral is "tRNA-Thr". It matches the Rfam family "tRNA". Rfam says of the family: Transfer RNA (tRNA) molecules are approximately 80 nucleotides in length. Their secondary structure includes four short double-helical elements and three loops (D, anti-codon, and T loops). Further hydrogen bonds mediate the characteristic L-shaped molecular structure. tRNAs have two regions of fundamental functional importance: the anti-codon, which is responsible for specific mRNA codon recognition, and the 3' end, to which the tRNAs corresponding amino acid is attached (by aminoacyl-tRNA synthetases). tRNAs cope with the degeneracy of the genetic code in two manners: having more than one tRNA (with a specific anti-codon) for a particular amino acid; and 'wobble' base-pairing, i.e. permitting non-standard base-pairing at the 3rd anti-codon position. The record is from RNAcentral. Lineage: Bacteria; Deltaproteobacteria.
GCCAACUUAGCUCAGCUGGUAGAGCAUCUCAUUCGUAAUGAGAGGGUCGAGGGUUCGAUUCCCCCAGUUGGCU